UGGACCGCCAGAUAUUUGAUUGGAGAAAACCCAAGAUUAUACCGCAAACCCAAACGGAGUAGUACUGAAGGAAAAUGAAAACUGAGCGGAAGCACGUAGGAGGGCAGAGCCAGGCUAGUGGAUUGGCACCUGGUGGU
Etheostoma spectabile (orangethroat darter) is the source of this 137-nucleotide long non-coding RNA. RefSeq lists it as uncharacterized. The record is from RefSeq and is a predicted model, not a curated record. Lineage: Eukaryota; Metazoa; Chordata; Actinopteri; Perciformes; Percidae. The transcript is spliced from 3 exons.